This 707-nucleotide ribosomal RNA is filed under the name Rhizomucor pusillus. RNAcentral describes it as "eukaryotic LSU rRNA". The stretch from base 412 to 707 matches the Rfam family "Eukaryotic large subunit ribosomal RNA", at positions 1 to 291 of the family's 3401-position model. Lineage: Eukaryota; Fungi; Mucoromycota; Mucoromycetes; Mucorales; Lichtheimiaceae. The record is from RNAcentral.
AAUUGAAAGUUUUGGAUCAGAAAUGAUUCAAGACGAUAAAAUUUCAAAACAACUUUAAGCAAUGGAUCACUUGGUUCUCGCAUCGAUGAAGAGCGUAGCAAAUUGCGAAAAGUAAUGCGAUCUGCAGCCUUUGCGAAUCAUCGAAUUCUCGAACGCACCUUGCACCCUUUGGUUCAUCCAUUGGGUACGUCUAGUUCAGUAUCUUUAUUAACCCCUAAAGGUUUAUUUUUUGAUAAAUCUUUGGAUUUGCGGUGCUGAUGGAUUUUCAUCCGUUCAAGCUACCCGAACAAUUUGUAUGUUGUUGACCCUUGAUAUUUCCUUGAGGGCUUGCAUUGGUAUCUAAUUUUUUACCAGUGUGCUUCGAGAUGAUCAAGUAUAAAGGUCAAUCAACCACAAAUAAAUUUCAACUAUGGAUCUGAACUUAGAUGGGAUUACCCGCUGAACUUAAGCAUAUCAAUAAGCGGAGGAAAAGAAAAUAACAAUGAUACCCUUAGUAGCGGCGAGCGAAGUGGGUAAAGCUCAAGUUUAAAACCUGUUUGUCCUAGACAAACCGGAUUGUAAACUAAGGACGUGCUAUCCAGGCUCUUUGGACCUUCAAGUCCUUUGGAAUAAGGCUUCACAGAGGGUGACAAUCCCGUAGAGGGUCUUGAAAGAGUCUAUUGCGAUGCAUGCUCCAAGAGUCAGGUUGUUUGGGAAUGCAGCCUAAA